UACGAAGGGGGCUAGCGUUGCUCGGAAUCACUGGGCGUAAAGGGUGCGUAGGCGGGUCUUUAAGGUCAGGGGUGAAAUCCUGGAGCUCAACUCCAGAACUGCCUUUGAUACUGAAGAUCUUGAGUUCGGGAGAGGUGAGUGGAACUGCGAGUGUAGAGGUGAAAUUCGUAGAUAUUCGCAAGAACACCAGUGGCGAAGGCGGCUCACUGGCCCGAUACUGACGCUGAGGCACGAAAGCGUGGGGAGCAAACAGGG
RNAcentral lists this ribosomal RNA (255 nucleotides) under uncultured bacterium. RNAcentral's name for it is "partial 16S ribosomal RNA". It matches the Rfam family "Bacterial small subunit ribosomal RNA", at positions 524 to 777 of the family's 1533-position model. The record is from RNAcentral.